GUCCAACUUCGCCUUGCGUUGUCCCUUUCCGGGGGCGACGCGGGGUGAACCACGAAGCAAUCUUUGCGUCCCACUCCGCCCACAUUAGGUUGUGGUCGUGGAUUGGUCCGCAGGGCAUUCGCUUGAGCUCUCGGAUGCGGUGCAUUAUACGCGGGCACGAGGACUCACGUCCUCUAUUUGCCCGAAAUAAAGCUUUUUCUUUUAGUUGCGAACGAUUGCGAUCCCCGUUUCGAGCCCCCGGGCGAGUGCGGCGUUCACCUCGUGAGGAAUGUUA
Molecule: unclassified non-coding RNA, 274 nt
Filed under: Plagiobothrys glyptocarpus var. glyptocarpus
Lineage: Eukaryota; Viridiplantae; Streptophyta; Magnoliopsida; Boraginales; Boraginaceae
Description: partial external transcribed spacer
Source: RNAcentral